This 437-nucleotide ribosomal RNA is filed under the name uncultured bacterium. RNAcentral's name for it is "bacterial SSU rRNA". It matches the Rfam family "Bacterial small subunit ribosomal RNA", at positions 355 to 812 of the family's 1533-position model. The record is from RNAcentral.
UCGGGAAUUUUGGGCAAUGGGCGAAAGCCUGACCCAGCAACGCCGCGCGAAGGAUGAAGUAUUUCGGUAUGUAAACUUCGAAAGAAUAGGAAGAAUAAAUGACGGUACUAUUUAUAAGGUCCGGCUAACUACGUGCCAGCAGCCGCGGUAAUACGUAGGGACCAAGCGUUGUUCGGAUUUACUGGGCGUAAAGGGCGCGUAGGCGGCAAUUCAAGUCAUCUGUGAAAUCUCCGGGCUUAACUCGGAACGGUCAGAUGAUACUGCUUUGCUAGAGUGCAGAAGGGGCAAUCGGAAUUCUUGGUGUAGCGGUGAAAUGCGUAGAUAUCAAGAGGAACACCUGAGGUGAAGACGGGUUGCUGGGCUGACACUGACGCUGAGGCGCGAAAGCCAGGGGAGCAAACGGGAUUAGAUACCCCAGUAGUCCCUGAGCGGGCUGG